Molecule: ribosomal RNA, 224 nt
Filed under: uncultured bacterium
Lineage: Bacteria
Description: partial 16S ribosomal RNA
Rfam family: Bacterial small subunit ribosomal RNA
Source: RNAcentral
AAAAAUAGAUCUCAGUUCGGACUGUAGGCUGCAACUCGCCUACACGAAGUUGGAAUUGCUAGUAAUCGUGGAUCAGCAUGCCACGGUGAAUACGUUCCCGGGUCUUGUACACACCGCCCGUCACACCAUGGGAGCUGGUAACACCCGAAGUCAGUAGUCUAACCGCAAGGAGGACGCUGCCGAAGGUGGGAUUAGCGACUGGGGUGAAGUCGUAACAAGGUAAC